This 446-nucleotide ribosomal RNA is filed under the name uncultured bacterium. Its description in RNAcentral is "SSU rRNA". It matches the Rfam family "Bacterial small subunit ribosomal RNA", at positions 26 to 518 of the family's 1533-position model. The record is from RNAcentral.
AGAACGAACGCUGGCGGCAGGCUUAACACAUGCAAGUCGAACGCUCGUAGCAAUACGGGAGUGGCAGACGGGUGAGUAACGCGUGGGAACAUACCCUCCGGUUCGGAAUAGCUCAGGGAAACUUGGAUUAAUACCGGAUACGGCUGAGAGGCGAAAGAUUUAUCGCCGGAGGAUUGGCCCGCGUUCGAUUAGCUUGUUGGUGAGGUAACGGCUCACCAAGGCGAUGAUCGAUAGCUGGUCUGAGAGGAUGAUCAGCCACAUUGGGACUGAGACACGGCCCAAACUCCUACGGGAGGCAGCAGUGGGGAAUAUUGGACAAUGGGCGCAAGCCUGAUCCAGCCAUGCCGCGUGAGUGAUGACGGCCUUAGGGUGUAAAGCUCUUUCGCUCGGGACGAUAAUGACGGUACCGAGAUAAGAAGCCCGGCUAACUUCGUGCCAGCAGCCGC